CUAGACAUCCCUUAGGCACCUGCGGCUUGACGUAGCCCAAGGGGCUAUGAUCCUCGUGUGUUGUCAGCUUGGCCUCAAUCUCACCUCCCUUCUCAGUUCUCUGAGUGGCAGGAGAAGUCGAGAAGAUUCCCAGACUCUUCUCUGUAUGGUUCUAGGUUAGGCACAGGCCAGCUUUGCCUGAGAAAUCUACUAUAAAUGGGGGCUGCGGUCCUAGUUCAGGCCUUCUUUCUGGCUGGCUUCCCCGGCAGCCUCUCUCCCGGGGUGUUUGUGUGCGUCGGGGUCCAAUCUGAAGGCAGGAACCACAUGCUAAUUUGAAUACGGGAAGUUGAACAUAAAGAGCGAUUAUGCGUAACAGGGCCGUUGAAUAAUAGAUUGGUCAAGAAUAAGAGAUUCCAAAGAAUAUAGACGAGCACAUGUAAGGAGCAGCCUCUACCCCUGGGGUGGAGACAGAGGCCCUCCAUACCCCGUCCCCAGCUGUCUGGCUCUUGCUGGGAAGGACAUCGCUGCGGCUUACCGGAUGCAGAGAAGUCUCCGAGAUGCUGUGUUGAUAGAAUGUUCUAGAAAUCUGCUCUUUGAGGUGCCAGGGAAAGCUGUCACAGAGAGACGGAGGUACUUCCCAGUUUGUUGGUGGGCACUGGGAGACACGAUUGGCUGCCAAGUCCUGCUUACGACCAUGCAGGAUGUGGGUGCUGGAAAAUCGUCUACACUGCAGGAGCCUGGAUGUUGGAGAAGCUUCUGCACAGCAGCAGCUGAGUACUGAGGAAGCCAUGUGCACCCCCAAAGCCAGAUAAUUGGAGGGACUGCGUGGACUGCAGGAGCCUGCUAGGAUGAGGGCCCCAGCGCCAGGAGGGAAAGCCCCCCUUCCCCCAGUGUCUCCAGCCCCUCCUGCUGACAGAGCGUAACGCCAGACCAGUUGCCAAAGGAAAAGGAUAGAAAGGGCCCAGCUCCACGUUCGCAGAGCAGGCGACGAAUGGCCCGUUUGGGAGCCAAGAGCAACAACCGCACGUCACUCUGCCGUCAUCGUGCAGCGUAACCGGCUGCUUGAGAGGCUCAGCUCUGGGGUCAGGCUUCCCGGGUUCAAGUCUCGGCCCUGCCACUACUGUUGGUGUAACCUUCAGAGGCUUAUAUGAGCUCCCUGUGGCCCGGUUUCCUGCUCUGUGAAGCCAGGGUAGUGAUCGCACCAACCUCGUUGGGUUCUUACGCCAAGUAGAUGCCUCGCAGACGAAGCGCCACGUCGGAAUUUACACGCUCCUUUCUUUAAACUGCGCAUCCUUCGACCCGCAGCCUGGACGGGCUUUCCACGUAGGUGGGAGCCUCAGGCGACAGCCCUGUGGCCUAAGACAUCAUUUUUCUUUCUCUUUCUUUCUUUUCUGUGGCCGGGGCCCGGCACAGGGAGCGCUAGUUGGAGAGGUUGUCUUCUUAACAAGUCCCCGUGUUCAGAUUGCAAAAAUCAGAAACCGGCUGUCACGUUGUCUGAAACUCCCCUGUGGCUCUCCCCGCCCCCCAUCAGGUGACUGAAGGAUGUCCCGUCCCACAUCCCUCCCAGGAGAUGGCGCUUGUAAGAUCCUCUGCCCCGCUCACCUCCCACCACACCACAGCUCAGGUUUUCACGUUCGUCGUCACCGAACAUUGAAAUUCAGUUCAUCCACCCUCACGUCCCUACCGCAUUUGUGCCUCUGCUUUGCAGCUUCAUUUGUGUUGUCCCCCCUUCUGGAAAACCAUCCCCCCUCCUGUUUGCUUGGUGAAUUCACUUUCAAUGCUCCGAACACUCAAGCACCCAUCUCUUCCAGGAAGCCUUCACCAAACCCCCAGGUGGGUUGCAGAGUGCUUCCCGUUCCUUCGCUCCCCCAAAUGGUCCUCUUGUGUUGAGGUCAUAGGCUUCUGGGCCUGGUUCACUGGCUAGAGUGGAAGCCAUGUGGGGUCUCCCGCAUAUUACUCACGUUUGCAUGCUCUGUGUUUUAGCACCCCCCCCACCCCGUACCUCUGGGGCGCGCUGCAUCGCUCUAGGGCUGCCGAUCGCAGAGUUGUGCACAACCUGCUCCCCCGUUCUAUGGCCCUGAGCACCAAAUGGAGUCGCCCCACGGAUGAGAAUGGGAUGAGAAUGGUGCCCUCAAGCUCUAGACAUUGGUUACAGCACCCACUUAGAGCCAUCUGCCACACUGGCCAGCGUCUCCUGAGCACUCCCUCGGCGGGCUGGUUAGGAGGGAUUGAGGAGGUUUGGAAUCAUCAGACCACAUUUCUCUAUAAGAGAUGCCAGGUUCCAGUUGUGCCCCAUUCAAAGGAACCUCAGAAGCAGGGCUGGGGGGAGAGGAAGGGAAAAGAGGAAGGACACAGCCCUGUGAUGCAACCAAGGGCUUUAAUUAGAGCCCGCUCCUCCCGCAGUGGCUGGGGUGACUCUUGCUGGUGGCACAGGGGUGGCUCAGAUGUCUUCUCCUCCAGGGGAGUUUCUGAAUUCAUCUUCAUAGCUCCUGCUCACCGCCCUCUUCCUCCCGGAGGAGACUCGUGGGCAGCCGCCCAGCGUGGGGACUGCGGGCUAGAACGCUCAGGGUCUCCCAAGAGUGCACACUCUCAGCACCCAGUUAUUGGUGACGUACCGUGGGUAUCUCCUUUUCAAACCGUUUCUGCGAGGAUCCAUGUUCAGGUCUGAAAGAGUGAAGGAAAACGUUGAGCCUUGGGGAAGGCUGUGGAUUAUGCCUGGAUAGACCGUCUCGGGCCGGUGCCACGCGGGGACUGCUCGAGUUACUGAUGGCUUUAAAAACAAUGCUGCUCGCCUGAGCUAAAAAUAACCCCAAACUGGGUUCCGCAAACGAGAUUUUGAAGUUUACUUGUUACACCAGCAUGGCCUCGCUGGUCCUGACCAGAACACGUACACUGCCAACCUCUGCUGGGUGCCCUCUCUGUGUGGGCCCAAGUUCUAGGCACGUAUAGGUGUUGCCUCAUCUCAUCCUCCCCACAACCUGUCGGGUACGCAGUGUGCUCCCAUUAUCCCCGGUCUGUAAUGAAGGAUGCCGAAGCUCAGAGAGAGAGGUUCGGCGGCGUGCUCAAGCUCCGGACGUGGCUGAAGCAGAAUAUGACUGGUCUGUCGGACUAAACGCCAGUGAUUUUACCUAAUAUCUCAUAUCUGAUAAAUAGUCAUCAGGCUACACUGUUACGGGCGUGGGUAACUAGUCCCGUGUCCCCAAAGGGCUCAAAGAAGUCUGAUGUGUCCCAGCAGGGAGUGGCUGGGGAGACGGAAGCCCAGAGAGGUAACUCCGGCCGGUGUUCUUGCACCUGCCGCACCCCCACCGCACCACCUACUGAGGGCCCGUGGCUGAUGCUGCUGGGGUGUGCUUGGAGGGCGAGAGCCAAAAGCGGUAGAGCUCCCCUUGCUGGCGUGGCAGCAGCAACAGAAGAACUUGGACGCCAUGUGUUGGUGGGCUGGGUAAGAGGAAAGGGCCCCGGGGCUCUGCAGCCCCAACCCCAGAAGCCCAUUGUUGUUUCAGCGCUAGGUCACACUGGGCCAGCCUCUCCCAAGGCGUCAUACCCCCUCCCCUCCCAAAGCGCCUGCGCUCCCUGUGGCCAGCACGUCCAGGCCCACCUGUGUGGACCUACUUCUAACCAGUCCUUCCUCGUCUGUCCAGAGUCCUCUUGCCUUUGAAAAGGACUUGGAGCCUCUGCUCUGCUCGUCUUUACCUGCAGGGGUGUGUUGUUGAAUCAGUAGAUUUGCUGCUGACCCAGCUCAACCUUGCUGAUUCACAUCCUGGCUCUGCCACUAAUUUGCUGUGCGGCUUUGGGCUCCUCCGUGCCCGUCUCUGGGCCCGGGCUCCCAUCUUACGGGCAGUGGUUAGGCUGCACCAUUUCUCCAACAAUACUUCAAGCUCUGAUGACCCAAGGUUGUACGUCCUUGUCAUAUUCCCAAACCUCUUUCUCUUUUCUUCUGGGCCUGGUUCACUGGCUGAAGUGGAAGCCAUGUGGGGUCUGGCCCUCUCCUGUUCUCAUUUCCCUUCCCCUGUGGCCAAAGCCCCACUCUGGGAAUUUCCAUCAUGGUGGCUGUAUUCACUCGCCACACGCUGGGUUCAGUCCAAGCCUCCCCCUUGGGCACUGGCUCCCCACCUCUCCUGGGCACCACCAGGUCUCACCUGGGUCAUUGCAGUGGCCUCCUCACUGGCCUCCCUGCUUCUUCCCCCCUCGUCUUCAUUGGUGUCCACGCAGCGGAAUCCUCCUGGAAUGGAAGUCACGUCAGUCACCCCUCUGCUCGGAGUGUCCGUGUGCCAUAGUGUCGAGCUGAUGGCUCUAAGGACAACCAACCAACAGGGGCGAGAUCGUAACCUGCGGAGGGGAGCCUGGCGAUGAAGGCGUCUUCGGCAGGUGACCUAGUUCAUGUCACCCACGGCAGGACCUCCCUAUGCCGUGUGUCCCCCAACAGGAUGCGCUGGGGGGACAGCGUCGCUGCUGUGGUCUUCCCGCCAAACACGGGAAACCAGAGUCCUAAAAUGAACGCAAAUAGGGGGGCACCUCAUAAGAUGGUUGUGCCUGUGUCCCUCAGAAACGGAGAGCUCCCGAAGAUAAAGACCGAACUGUUGCAGGUGAGGACACGCGGCGGGGACACGGCACUGCCCUGUGACUCAUGAUGUUGGGUUCGACCCUGCAUCGGGUGGCAAAGCAGCUGGAAGACAUUUGGGGGACCCUUGGUGACACCAGCAUCUCAGUGUUAGAUUUUUUUUUUUUUUUUUUUUUUUUUGAGAACUGUCCUGGAGUUCUUCUCUAAGAGAAUAUGCUUGUUCUCAGGGCGCGCACACCGACCUGGUGGGGGGAAGGAGGUCUGUCGGAAGGAACUGACCGGGGGACACAGAGACGAGGCAGGAGGGAGCAGGUGGGGGGAGAUGCAAACAAUCGUGAGUCUGGGUGAAGCGUCAACAGGGGUUCUUUGCAUCUAUUGCAACUUUUCAGUAAGUCCAAGAUGGUUUCAAGACGAGAAGAAGGUGUCCGCAAGGCUUAGAUUUUUUGUUUUCGGAGAGCUAGGCGUGACCAUGUGCUUAAAAACAGGAGAAAAAGAAAAAAAAACAGUAAGGAAGACAAGCCAA
Long non-coding RNA from Canis lupus familiaris (dog), 5063 nucleotides. RefSeq lists it as uncharacterized. The transcript has 2 exons. The record is from RefSeq and is a predicted model, not a curated record. Lineage: Eukaryota; Metazoa; Chordata; Mammalia; Carnivora; Canidae.